AUGGCCUCCUUCUCCAAGCAGGCGGCACUCUUCUUGCUGGCAGCGCUGCUGCUGUGCCUCCUCUGCACUAGAGGGCAAGCAGCAAGGCCUACACCAGGAUCCAGCCUCCAAAAAUCACAGGGUGCUGGCUCCGCCACCUCCCAUGAGAAGAGUGCUGCAGGAACCGGGAUGGAAAUGGAGCAGGUAGAUCUGGAGGCGAUGAGAGGAUGCGAGGGAGGGGAAGGAGCGGAGGAGUGCCUGAUGAGGAGGACCCUCGUCGCUCACACCGACUACAUCUACACCCAGGGGAAGCACAACUAG
Molecule: ribosomal RNA, 300 nt
Filed under: Triticum aestivum (bread wheat)
Lineage: Eukaryota; Viridiplantae; Streptophyta; Magnoliopsida; Poales; Poaceae
Description: partial small subunit ribosomal RNA
Source: RNAcentral